This 5547-nucleotide long non-coding RNA is filed under the name Homo sapiens (human). RNAcentral describes it as "HSALNT0127804". The record is from RNAcentral. Lineage: Eukaryota; Metazoa; Chordata; Mammalia; Primates; Hominidae.
AUUCGUGUACAUUUGAGAUUGUUUCAUUGUCUAUAAAAUUUUAAAAGUAAUACCUAUCUUGCAUAGUUGUCACAAGAGCUAAACAUAAUAUUGUAGAUAAAGUGCCUAAUACGGCAGACCUCAUCAAAUAAUAUGUAUUAUGACGGCUGUUUUUCUUUUGAUUUUUUUUGUUGUUGUUGUUGUUUUUUUGAGACGGAGUCUCACUCCGUCGCCCAGGCUGGAGUACAGUGGUGCGAUCUUGGCUGACUGCAACCUCCGCCUCCCGGGUUCAAGUGAUUCCCCUGCUUCAGCCUCCCAAGUAGCUGGGAUUACAGGCAUGUGCCACCACACCCGGCUAAUUUUGAAGUUUUAGUAGAGAUGCGGGUUUCACUAUGUUAACCAGGCUAGUCUCAAACUCCUGACCUCACUGAUCCACCCCACUCAGCCUCCCAAAGUGCUGGCAUUACAGGUGUGAGCCACUGCACCCGGCCUGAUUUGGCAUCUUAUAUUACUAUAGUUGUAGAAUGCAGGGGAGACUGAGCUGAAUGUGUAAAUGUUAACAAUGGUAGUAGUAGCUGUCAUAUUAGCAUUAACUGAGCAUCUUCUAUGUGCCAAGCACUGUGCUACAGUGUACAGCCCAGGAUGUAAAACAUCCACAUUGUGAUUAGUCCUGUGAAAUAUGGAUGCCCUACAAAACAAAUGAAGAAUCAUUUCAUAGAAGGGUCCUUUUAUCUGGAUUCUAGUUGCUUGGGGUAGUACUAAACCUGAGGGUGAUUUUGAAAGCAGCCAUUUUAGAAGGCAAAGAAAUGUCCCUGAAGUCUAACAUGUGCUCCUAAAUCUCCGAUUACUGCCUUACCAGAUACCGUGGGAACAAUCAAUUGAGCCACAGGCCAUAUGGGAACCACCUGUGAUCCUGUUUAUUCCUUUUCUUCAAGUCUUUUUAUGGUUAUGACAUAAGCCAUGUUAAAGCCUAAACCAUAACCUAAGCAUGCUGGUUAGCAAUGUUUUCAUUGCAAGGGAUGAAUAUUCAAGGCCACAGUACCUUCCAGGCCCGAAGACUGGGCUAUCAGGGUGGAUUAAGAAAUUGUCAAUUUCAUGCAAAGCAACAUUUCUGAUUUAGUUACUGAAAAUGUGCUUUUCUAUAGAAAGCACAUUACGAGAUAAGUUAGUCUAGCAGGGACUUCGCCUCAGACUGUUUUCUCAGACCUCCAAAGUAAGGUAGGGAACACACCGGAAUAGUUUAAUCCAUCAUUUGUAUUUUUCCAUGUGAUAAUAGAGAAUAUCAUCUUCUCUCAUUUCAUUGUUCUUUCAACCUUACUAACUUCUCUCUUCCUUCCUGUCAGCAUCUAUUAAGUAAGGCUGCAACUUUACUUCUGCCCUUCCUCAUUUACCAAAGGACAAGGGAAUGAAAAAUGGAAGCUCUAAUGGCUUAGUUUACACUCCUGCUAAUUUCAAACAGAUUUCCAGAUUGCACAGCUUUUAAAAUGAAAGAACUUUUCCUCAGAAUGACCCUGUGACAGACAAACGCUAAAGUGACUCCAACGAUCCCUGCUCUGCUGGUAUUCAUAACUUCUUUUUUUUUUUUUUGGCUGGUAUUCAUAACUUCUUUUUUUUUUUUUUUUUUUUUUUUUUGAGACGGAGUCUCACUCUGUCGCCCAGGAUGGAGUGCAGUGGCGUGAUCUUGGCUCACUGCAAGCUCCGCCUCCCGGGUUCACGCCAUUCUCCUGCCUCAGCCUCCCGAGUAGCUGGGACUACAGGCACCCAGUUAUUCAUAACUUUAUGUGACCCCUUUCCCUUGAAUGUGGGUGGGACAUGGAGUACGGGACUUGCUUCUAACAAACAACUAUGUAAGAUUCUAUGUUGGUGGCAGACAGAGAGAUCCUCCUUACUGGCUUAAUGAAGUGGCCACGUGGACCACAGGCAGCCUCUACAACAGCCAGUCAGAAACUCAAGCCCUCAGUGCUACAGCAAUGAUUACUGCCAACAGCCUGAGUGAGACUGGAAGCAGAUUCUCCCCUGACUGAACUUGCAAUUGAGAUAGCAGCCUGGUCAACACCUUGAUUAUAGCCUUGUGAGGCCCAGAGCAGAAGACCCAUCUAAGCCAUGCCUGGACUCCUGACACAGAAACUGAGAGAUAAGAAGUGUGUGUUAAACUGCUAUAUUUACGGAAAUUUGUUAGGCAGCAAUAUAAAACUGAUACCAUCACCAACAUAAUAAUUCAUGAAAAUAAAAAUCAACAUUGACAUCUGAUAAUGCUGGCUAAUUGCAGUAUGCCGAGAAAGGGUGCUAAGAUACACCAACUCUAUGUGCCCCGAGCGUUUCUUUCCCGAUUGUUCAUAAAUAAAAUACAAGUUCUCCCUCUGCUACCAUGACAUGCUAUUUCACAUGCUGGCAUGUAACUGUCUUUGCAAAUGUGCUAAUACUAAAGUAGAUGCUGAGAGGAGCUGUUUUUUUAAUAUGGAAAUAAAAUAUCUUCAUUUCACCCAGUAAGUGGUUUUUUUUCUAGUCCUAUUUUAAAUACACAAUAUUUGCAUGUUUUUUAAAAAUCAGUUUUACAUCAAGGCAGAGCAUCAGUUCGAUCAAGGAUUAAAAGCACAGCACGAGCACUUCUUUUCCUCAUUUGUUGCUUCUGCUGCCCCUCUCCUUGCCCUUGGCCCUGGUCUCCUUGGGGUCUGAUAAGGUCUUGAGGUUUUAUGUAUCACAAUCCCCUUGAUAAAUCCUGUGUCAUUUAUUCUUGAGGAAAAGACAUGGAAGUAUAAUUUUAGACCCAUUCCUAUGGCAAGAAACCCUCAUAAAUCAUUCUGUCUACUCUUCCUUCCACUCCCGAUGUCGCCUAGGCAACUUUACAGGUACACUGUUUCUGCUGUACUGGGCAUCUGGCUCUGCUGAGGAGUGGAGCUGAGCACAUUCUUUCCUCAGUUGUGGUCUGGGAAACUAUACUGGCGCAAACUGUAUUGGUGGGAACAAUGCAGUGUUCAGUCUUCAUGGCACCUUCUCCCUUGCUGGAGGGAGGCCAUCUGUCAACCUUCCCUGAUAUCAUGAAGGACCAUCCAACGCCCAGUCACACACAAACCUUAAUAACCCUCAAGGACAAGUGGAGCAAGAUCUCAGACGAUCUGUUCCCUUUUAGUUACAGGAAACUUGAUAAUGAAGAUCUCCACCCUGGUCAAGAACAGAGGAAAGACCUAAAUGCCAUCUCUCAGCACCCAAUCUAACCCAAACUCUACACUGCCACCUGAGUCAUCUUUCUAACACAUGGGAAUUGAUCUGCUCCAGCUUAAAGAUCACUAACACAAGGCAUGACUAAAACAGAUGAAGAAACUAAUACCUAAAGAUGAGUGAGGUCAGCUAAAAACAAGAAAGAAAUUUAAAGCAUCCUGGGAAGUCAUCAUACCCUUUUUCUCCAAGAAAAUCUAGUUUUGCUUGUUUUUGUGUAUCCCACAACACCUGUGUUUGACUAUCUUUUUCACUUUGGAUUUGGAUUUUGGUGUGAUAUACACAGUUCCAAAAAAUCAAUGGAUAGAAAACUCAAUGGCAUAAAUAAGUGCUUAAAACAAUACUUCAAGAAAUGUUCAACAUUCCACGAGAACAAUAUCCACGUGAGAUGAAAAGAAAAGUCUAAGUUAGUUCCUGAUUCCUGGAAGCUGGGAAAGUCUCAUUCCAGUAACUACUUAAUACCCCCUGUCAGUCUCCUUCAAAGGCUGAAGCCAGCCUCUGACUGAAGCGCAGCCGCAAUGUUUCCUGUCUGGUGCCAGCACAGCUUGCCUGGACUUCUGAAAAUUGCAAGCGCUUGCUCCUUGCUAGUCACCACACUCCCCCUUUCUUAGUUGCAGACUCCCUCUUGCUGUGGUUUACCAGGUGCCCUUAUUGCCCCUCAUGCUUGUGUGCCACUUUGGACUUAAUCUGGCACACUUAACUCCCUUCAUCUACGCCUGAAGCUGGACAAGCUGAAGUGACUGCGUCACUUUCUCAAUUCUGGCUCCUGCCCACCGACCUUGCUCUGCUAGGAGGAAUUAGCUCUGCCUGGCCAGAACCCAAGAAGUGACAAAUCAAACUCGCUCAAUAGGUGGUAAUUAAACUUCUGGCUCUAAAGCCCAGAAUAGGUUGUCAAUGGGAUUUCACAGUGGCUCCCUGACACUAAGCAAGGAUGUAUUUCUACAUCUAGUUUUAAAUCUUAAACUCUAAUAGGAUUCUCAGAAAAGACAGUAAAGACUAAGGCCAAAAAAAGUUGUUUAAAGGGGAAAAUGACAGUAAGUACAAAAGAUAAUCUGGGGAAGACCUGGCAAUUCUGAAAUCAAAACAUCUGUUACUAAGUGGAUCAUGACUGCUUAGUUUCUAGGUGAGCUGAAUAAAAAUACUAACUGAACAAUGAUGUAGGUCGUUGUCAAAUCUAAUCAAUUUCUUGUUUGUUUGUUUGUUUUUUUCCAUCAGUCUAGAAUCUUUAAGUAAGCCAUUCAGAAGAUGUGAUACUAUAGAAUGAUACCAACUGAGGAAUAGAGUGGAGAGGAAGGGCUGAAGAUGACUUCAGAAAAAGGCCUGAGGCGUGACAAAUGUUGAUCUCACUCACUGAUCUAUGCUGUAUUUCUUUUAAGAAUGUAUUAAUAUAAAUGUCCUUUUCUUCCCACAUCCAAUCCCUAUUACUACACCAAAUACUUGUUCCUCUAGGAAAUGUGAAGUUGAAAAAAAUUUCCCCCAUUAAAUGAGAAUUAUUCUGCUUAUGACAUUAGGAUAUAUGCUCUCGCUUUAAAAAUAGGAGGCUGUUGAAUUCAUCAUUUGAGUAUAUUAAAUAGACUGUGGAAGAGUAUUAUCCUCCUGGAAACCUCUUAUCCCUCACUCUUAUACCACGAGGGAUUGCCAGUUAGGUCUAAUGACCAAUAAUAUCCACAGCCAUAGGUAAUCAGAAGAGUUUCUGGUUUCUCUAAAGUGGAAAAUAAAUUGCUGCCAAGGCAAACCAAAUAGCAUAGAGUUUUGUAUGAUCUGCCUCUAAUGCUUCUCUGUGUAAACAUGCUAACUAAUGACAUCUGGAGAACAAGCUAUGUCAUGCAGCUUCCUCAGUGAUAACUUUUUAAACACCUGGUUAGAGAUCUUUAUCCAAGGGUGUAACUGAGUUACCGCACUCCUCAGCCCUAAGCCACCUUGUCAGUUUACCCCAGUGUGCCAUACAAAUAUUACUUUCUAUACAUGCCAUGAUAUGGAAAAGGUUCGGAAGGCCUGAAUUAAUAUUUAUCAAAUAUCUUACUUUGGCAAAGCCCAUAUUUUCAUAUGGUGUCUUUGAAGAAUAAAAACAUGUUUGAGCUGGAAAGAUCCCAGAUAACUUUUUCCCAAAUGGGACUCCUUCAAGUGUAAGUUCCAUAGAAUAUUAAAUGUUAAAUUAAUUGGGAGAAGGAAUUUGAGAAAUACUGGGUUAAAGUUUAAAAGUUUUUUUUUUUAAGUGCAGGAUGUCUAAGACAUUUGGAUAUGCUGAAUGCAGUGUCAUUCUCUAGCAGGAGGGUGUAAUACAAAUUAGUAUUUAUUUAAAGAUGGAGCUUUUAGAAUAUAGUUUGUUUUGUUUUUGUUUUUGUUUUUGUU